UGGGGAAUAUUGCACAAUGGGCGAAAGCCUGAUGCAGCAACGCCGCGUGAACGAUGAAGGUCUUCGGAUCGUAAAGUUCUGUUGCAGGGGAAGAUAAUGACGGUACCCUGUGAGGAAGCCCCGGCUAACUACGUGCCAGCAGCCGCGGUAAUACGUAGGGGGCUAGCGUUAUCCGGAUUUACUGGGCGUAAAGGGUGCGUAGGUGGUCCUUCAAGUCGGUGGUUAAAGGCUACGGCUCAACCGUAGUAAGCCGCCGAAACUGGAGGACUUGAGUGCAGGAGAGGAAAGUGGAAUUCCCAGUGUAGCGGUGAAAUGCGUAGAUAUUGGGAGGAACACCAGUAGCGAAGGCGGCUUUCUGGACUGCAACUGACACUGAGGCACGAAAGCGUGGGUAGCAAACA
This 401-nucleotide ribosomal RNA is filed under the name uncultured bacterium. RNAcentral describes it as "bacterial SSU rRNA". It matches the Rfam family "Bacterial small subunit ribosomal RNA", at positions 355 to 774 of the family's 1533-position model. The record is from RNAcentral. RNAcentral also lists the same sequence under 1 other name.